UACGUAGGGUGCAAGCGUUGUCCGGAAUUAUUGGGCGUAAAGAGCUCGUAGGCGGUUUGUCGCGUCUGGUGUGAAAAUCCAGGGCUUAACCCUGGACCUGCAUCGGGUACGGGCAGACUAGAGUGCGGUAGGGGAGAUCGGAAUUCCUGGUGUAGCGGUGAAAUGCGCAGAUAUCAGGAGGAACACCCGUGGCGAAGGCGGCUCUCUGGGACGGUACUGACGCUGAGACGCGAAAGCGUGGGGAGCGAACAGG
This 253-nucleotide ribosomal RNA is filed under the name uncultured bacterium. Its description in RNAcentral is "partial 16S ribosomal RNA". It matches the Rfam family "Bacterial small subunit ribosomal RNA", at positions 524 to 776 of the family's 1533-position model. The record is from RNAcentral.